This 502-nucleotide ribosomal RNA is filed under the name uncultured Glomeromycotina. RNAcentral's name for it is "partial small subunit ribosomal RNA". It matches the Rfam family "Eukaryotic small subunit ribosomal RNA", at positions 591 to 1092 of the family's 1831-position model. The record is from RNAcentral. Lineage: Eukaryota; Fungi; Glomeromycota.
CCAAUAGCGUAUAUUAAAGUUGUUGCAGUUAAAAAGCUCGUAGUUGAAUUUCGGGAUUUGUCAGUUGGUCGGGCUUCACUGUCCGUACUGGCUUGAUGGAUUCUUACCUUCUGAAUAACCAGCAUGCUAUUAAGUUAGUGCGUUGGGGAAGCAGAUCUAUUACCUUGAAAAAAUUAGUGUGCUUAAAGCGGGCUUGUGCUUGAAUAGAUUAGCAUGGAAUAAUAAAAUCGGACGGGAUGGUUCUAUUUUGUUGGUUUAUAGGAUCACCGUAAUGAUUAAUAGGGAUAGUUGGGGGCAUUAGUAUUCAAUUGUCAGAGGUGAAAUUCUUGGAUUUAUUGAAGACUAACUUCUGCGAAAGCAUUUGCCAAGGAUGUUUUCAUUAAUCAAGAACGAAAGUUAGGUGAUCGAAGACGAUCAGAUACCGUCGUAGUCUUAACCAUAAACUAUGCCGACUAGGAAUCGGACGAUGUUAAUUUUAUAAUGACUCGUUCGGCACCUUACG